This 506-nucleotide ribosomal RNA is filed under the name uncultured bacterium. Its description in RNAcentral is "partial 16S ribosomal RNA". It matches the Rfam family "Bacterial small subunit ribosomal RNA", at positions 29 to 523 of the family's 1533-position model. The record is from RNAcentral.
AACGAACGCUGGCGGCAGGCCUAACACAUGCAAGUCGAGCGGUAACACAGAGGAGCUUGCUCCUUGGGUGACGAGCGGCGGACGGGUGAGUAAUGCCUGGGGAUCUGCCCGAUAGAGGGGGAUAACUACGGGAAACUGUAGCUAAUACCGCAUAAUGUCUACGGACCAAAGUGGGGGCUCUUCGGACCUCAUGCUAUCGGAUGAACCCAGGUGGGAUUAGCUAGUUGGUGAGGUAAUGGCUCACCAAGGCGACGAUCACUAACUGGUUUGAGAGAAUGACCAGUCACACUGGAACUGAGACACGGUCCAGACUCCUACGGGAGGCAGCAGUGGGGAAUAUUGCACAAUGGGCGCAAGCCUGAUGCAGCCAUGCCGCGUGUGUGAAGAAGGCCUUCGGGUUGUAAAGCACUUUCAGCGGGGAGGAAGGGUCACUAGUUAAUACCUAGUGGCAUUGACGUUACUCGCAGAAGAAGCACCGGCUAACUCCGUGCCAGCAGCCGCCGUAA